ACGAUCUUACUUGAACAGGAUUUGUUCUAUAGGAUUGUAUUACUGUGUCCUUGAUUUCUAAGGAGACCAGAACAUACGUCUGGUGGAUGAACCAUGACCGUGUGAUCAGAGCGUGAUUAAUGGCUAGGAUGAUCUCGUGUGCGAGACUUCAACCUACGCUGUGGAGGAUCGUUCUUGGUCAGUUUCACCUGACCGUCUUGUUAUUUGCAAAAC
RNAcentral lists this small nucleolar RNA (213 nucleotides) under Trifolium pratense (red clover). RNAcentral's name for it is "snoRNA Plant_U3". It matches the Rfam family "Plant small nucleolar RNA U3", at positions 1 to 187 of the family's 221-position model. Rfam says of the family: Small nucleolar RNAs (snoRNAs) are involved in the processing and modification of rRNA in the nucleolus. There are two main classes of snoRNAs: the box C/D class, and the box H/ACA class. Lineage: Eukaryota; Viridiplantae; Streptophyta; Magnoliopsida; Fabales; Fabaceae. The record is from Rfam by way of RNAcentral.